RNAcentral lists this long non-coding RNA (291 nucleotides) under Brassica napus (rape). RNAcentral describes it as "long non-coding RNA (BNAP_LNC024210)". The record is from RNAcentral. Lineage: Eukaryota; Viridiplantae; Streptophyta; Magnoliopsida; Brassicales; Brassicaceae.
GUUCUUGUUCCUGAUUUCUCAAGAGUCUUUAAGUGUUAUUUUCUUAAUUAAAGUACACCAGCUAUAUCUUAUGGUUUUAGUUUGCAUUGCAUUGAAAAUGAAUCUAAAAUUGCAUUGAGCUUGUAACAAUAAUAACAUUAUGGAUUUAGAAAGAUGUUAUAAAGUGUAAACCGUUUGUGCAAAUUACACUUUAGAAGAUAAAAUAACAGUUAAUAAAAUAUAUCAGUACUUGUUGUAAAACUAAGGUUUUAGGUCUGAAUGAUUCUGUGUUUUAUUAAUGAAUAAGAGAUC